UGAUUGUGGAGGAACUCAUUUCCUGGGGAUUGAGGCUGACGGCUGGAGGAGCAGCCAAGGAACUCCAACAUGGCGAGUUGGAAGCCAAUUGGUCAUCCAUCCAGAGGAAACCUUCCAGACUGGGUCCGUACUGGAAGGAACCAGUCCAGAAUGAUCAAGACGUUGGUUGUAAUCAAUGACCCCUUCCAAGAUACCCUGAACUUUCUUUUGUUGAUUGGACCUUCUCAAAGUGCUCGGGGAGUCAAACUCUUCUGGCUGACACCCAUUUUAAACAUCACUUAAUCGCAUGAUGCGACAAUUCGUUAUCAGAUGACCCUGUGUUCAUACACAAACACAGCCACUAUCAGGCACAGACAGGCCAUAAUCUGGCAAAAUCUUGAUGAAACAGAAAUAAACACAAUGUGCAGUGCAUAUUAAUAAACUCGGGCAUUCUGGCACACACUGACAUUACAAACACCCUCGAAAGGAAAAGCUAUGAGGCUGGGUUUCCUUAUAUGAACCUUACCAUCAAUAUAAACAAGGAUCCAGAAAAGGGAAAGAGGUGAAUCUUUUGAAACACUGUAUCUCUUCUUCAAUCUUGGAAACAACAACUCAUCUCUUAAGAGCCAGCAGUUUCCAUAAUGUAUCAUUUUCUCAAAGGGUGAGACUAAGGUUCUCUUCACCACUCCAACCCAUCAACGCAAUGUCCUGUUUCUCUUGAACUUGAGGAUAAAACUCUCCAUCAGUCUCUGAAGCGGGUACUUCAAGAGCCACCAAGUGCACGGCCUGCCCUCCAUCCCUAACCUCCCGGUAUCUCCAGGGCUGGCAUCCCUUGGACAUGGGAACACUGGGCCCUUUCCUGGUUGGAUAGUUCUACCUUCUAGAGACUUCUGUUUACUACUGUCGCUACUGCCUCUUUCUUCUCCAGCUCCACACUGUGUCAGUCUCACACUGCCACUCGCAGCCUUCUCUGAAUGCCCGCCCACACUCUGCUACCCCUGGGAGACCCUGGCCAUGGACACCACCGCUGAUGCCUUUCAAUCUGAGGACCUCCACAAGCCGUGUCCCCUGGGUGACUUCAGACUCGCCAUUUGCUUUGCAGACCAGUGCCUGCUUGCUCCAGCCACUGGCCCUCAAACGGAGCUCUGAUCUUUCCCUUCCGGCCACCCCACGCCCCAUCACCCAAACCAGGACAGCUCCUUUCUCAUGGUCUUCUGCUCUUUAAUCCAAAAAUUCAGGCACUCAGCUGGAACCCAGAGAAGAGAGUCAGAAAAGGUCAAGCUGCUCCCAGUCCAGCAAAAGAUCACUUAUGCUUUUCUUCAAGAAAAAUCUCUCUACCAUGUGGAGUGACUCCUGUGGGAACAGAGGGGAGCCUUGUGGUUGUGAUAGAAGAAAAGCAAACCUGGUUAAAAAGCUGAGACGAGCAGAGGCACCUGGGUGGCUCAGUUGCUUAAGUGUCUGACUUCAGCUCAGGUCAUGAUCUUGGGCCCCGUGAGUUCGAGCCCCGCAUCGGGCUCUGUGCUGACCGCUCAGAGCCUGGAGCCUGUUUCAGAUUCUGUGUCUCCCUCUCCCUGACCCUCCCCCGUUCAUGCUU
Long non-coding RNA from Neofelis nebulosa (Clouded leopard), 1573 nucleotides. RefSeq lists it as uncharacterized. The record is from RefSeq and is a predicted model, not a curated record. Lineage: Eukaryota; Metazoa; Chordata; Mammalia; Carnivora; Felidae. The transcript has 3 exons.